AAUGAACGCUGGCGGCGUGCCUAAUACAUGCAAGUCGAACGGAGUGGCGCACGGGUGAGUAAUAUAUAGCUAAUCUGCCCCUUGCUGGGGGAUAACCGUUAGAAAUGACUGCUAAUACUCCAUAGCAAGGGAUGAGACUAUAUCGUAUCAGCUCGUCGGUGGGGUAACGGCCUACCGAGGCGAUGCCGCGUAACAUGUCUGAGAGGAUGAUCAGUGACAUUGGAACUGAGACACGGGCCAAACUCCUACGGGAUGCAGCAGUAGGGAAUAAUGCGCAAUGGGGGAAACCCGGACGGAGCAACGCGGCGUGGAGGAUGACAAUUUUCGGAGCGAAAACUCCUGUUGUUAGGGAAGCGGUACCUAACGAAGAAGCACCGGCUAACUCCGUGCCAGCAGCCGCGGUAAUAC
RNAcentral lists this ribosomal RNA (408 nucleotides) under uncultured bacterium. RNAcentral describes it as "partial 16S ribosomal RNA". It matches the Rfam family "Bacterial small subunit ribosomal RNA", at positions 29 to 526 of the family's 1533-position model. The record is from RNAcentral.